UGAGGAAUAUUGGUCAAUGGACGAGAGUCUGAACCAGCCAAGUAGCGUGAAGGAUGACUGCCCUAUGGGUUGUAAACUUCUUUUAUACGGGAAUAAAGUGAGGCACGUGUGCCUUUUUGUAUGUACCGUAUGAAUAAGGAUCGGCUAACUCCGUGCCAGCAGCCGCGGUAAUACGGGGGGUGCAAGCGUUGUUCGGAAUCAUUGGGCGUAAAGCGCGCGCAGGCGGCUUGGUAAGUCAGAUGUGAAAUCCCUGGGCUUAACCCAGGAAGUGCAUUUGAUACUGCCUCGCCAGAGUACGGGAGAGGAAAGUGGAAUUCCUGGUGUAGAGGUGAAAUUCGUAGAUAUCAGGAGGAACACCGGUGGCGAAGGCGACUUUCUGGCCCUAUACUGACGCUGAGACGCGAGAGCGUGGGUAGCAAACA
Molecule: ribosomal RNA, 422 nt
Filed under: uncultured prokaryote
Description: bacterial SSU rRNA
Rfam family: Bacterial small subunit ribosomal RNA
Source: RNAcentral